CUGGCAGGUGGUUCGGUCUGUCCGGGAGGUGCUUGCAGCGUGUCCGGCAUGUGGUUCUGGCACUUCUGAGAUGUGGUUCCGCCAUGACCAGCAGGUGAUUCCGGAGUGUCCGCCAAGUGGUUUUGUCUUGGCCGGCAGCUGAUUUUGGCGUCUCCGGCAGGUGGUUCCAGCGAGUUGAGCAGGUGUUUCCUGUGUAAUAGCCAGGUGGUUUAGGCGUGUCCGGAAAGUGAUUCUGGAGUGUCCGCAAAGUGGUUCCGGCAUAACAGGCAGGUGAUUUUUGCAUGUUCGGUAGUUGGUUCCUGCGAGUCGAGCAGGUUGUUCCGGCGUGUCCGUCAGGUGGUUCUGGCCUGUCCGGGAGGCGGUUCCGGCGUGUCCAGCACAUGGUUCUGGCACUUCUGAGACGUGGUUCUGGCAUGCCCAGCAGGUGAUUCCGGAGUGUCCGCCAAGUGGUUCUGUCAUAGCUGGCAGGUGAUUUUGGCAUCUCCGGCAGGUGGUUCCAGUGAGUUGAGCAGGUAUUUCCUGCCUUCUCCACAGGUGGUUUAGGUGUGUCCAGAAGGUGAUUCCGGAGUGUCUGCCAAGUGUUUCUGGCGUAACCGGCAGGUGAUUUUGGCAUGUCAGGCUGGUGGUUCCGGCGAGUCGAGCAGGUGGUUCCGGUGUGCUUGGCAGGUGGUUCAGGCGUGUCCGGAACGUGGUUCUGGCACGUCUGAGAGGUGGUUCCGUCAUGCCCGUCAGGUGAUUCCGGAGUGUCCGCCAAGUGGUUCUGGCUUACUUGGCAGGUGAUUUUGGCGUGUCCAGCAGGUGGUUCCGGCGAGUUGAGCAGGUGUUUCCUGCGUGCUCACCAGGUGGUUUAGGCGUGCCCAUCAGGUGAUUCCAGAGUGUCCGCCAAGUGGUUCUGGCUUACUCGUCAGGUGAUUUUGGUGUGUCCGGCACAUUGUUCUGGCACAUCUGAGAUGUCGUUCCGGCCUGCCCGGCAGAUGAUGCAGGAGUGUCUGCCAAGUGGUUCUGGCGUACUCGGCAGGUGAUUUUGGCGUGUCUGGCAGGUGGUGCCAGUGAGUCGAGCAGGUGUUUCCUGUGUGCUCGCCAGGUGAUUUAGGCGUGUCUGGAAGGUGAUUCUGGAGUGUCCGCCAAGUGGUUCUGGCGUAGCCGGCAGGUGAUUUUGGCGUGUUCGGCAGUUGAUUCCAGCAGCUCGAGCAGGUGGUUCCGGCAUGCCUGACAGGUGAUUCUGGAGUGUCUAGCAAGUGGUUCUGGCGUAGCCAGCAGAAGAAUUUGGCGUGUCCGGCAGGUGGUUCUGGAGAGUCGAGCAGGUGGUUCCAGCGAGCUCAGCAGGUGCUUCCAGCGUCUCCGGCAGGUGGUUCCAGUCUGCACGGGAGGUGGUUCUGGCGUGUCUGGCAGGCGGUUCCAGUCUGUCCGGGAGGUGGUUCCGGCAUGCUGGGAAGGUGCUUCCGGCAUCUCCGGCGCGUGGUUCUGGCAUAUCUGAGAGGUUGUGCCAGCAUGCCUGGCACGUGAUUCUGGCUUGUCUGCCAAGUGGUUCUGGCGUAGCCCGCAGGUGAUUUUGGCAUGCCCGGCAGGUGGGUCCGGCGAGUAAAGCAGGUGGUUCCAGCGAGUCUGGCAGGUUGUUCCGGUCUGUCCAGGAGUUCGUUCCGGUGUGUCCGGCACGUGCUUCUGGCACGUGUGAGAGGUUGUGUUGGCAUGCUGGAAAGGUGAUUCCGGAGUAUCCGGCAAGUGGUUCUGGUGUAGCCGGCAGGUGAUUUUGCCAUGACCGGCAGGUGGUUCCGGCAAGUCGAGCAGGUGGUUUCAGUGAGCUCGGCAGGCGCUUCCGGAAUCUCCGGCACAUAUUUCUUGCACAUCUGAGAGGUAGUUCUGGCAUGCCCGGCAGGUGAUUCGGGAGUGUCCGGCAAGUUGUUCUGGCGUUACCGGCAGGUAAUUUUGGCGUCUCCAGCAGUUGGGUCCUGCGAGUCGAGCAGCUGGUUCCGGCGUGCUUCGGCAGGUGUUUCAGGCAUGUCCGGCAGGUGGUUAAUGUCUGUCCGGAACGUGUUUCUGGUGUGUCUGGCACAUGGUUCGGGUACCUCUGAGAGGUGGUUCCGGCAUGCCUGGGAGGUGAUUCUGGAGUGUCCGCCAAGUGUUUCUGGCAUAGCUGGCAGGUGAUUUUGGCGUGUCCGGCAGGUGGUUCUGGGGAGUGGAUCAGGUGGUUCAGGCAUGCUCGGCAGGUUGUUCAGGCGUUUCGGGCAGGUGGUUCCAGUCUGUCCUGUAGGUGCUUUCAGUGUGUCCCUCACAUGGUUCUGGCACGUCUGAGAGGUGGUUCUGGUAUGCCCGGCAGGUAAUCCCGGACUAUCCCCCAUGUGGUUCUGGCGUAGCAGGCAGGUGAUUUUGGCGUGUCCAGCAGGUGGUUCUGGUGAGUCGAGCAGGUGGUUCCGGGGUGCUGGGCUGGUGGUUCAGGUGUGUCCGGCAGGUUGUUCCGGUCUGUCCCGGAGGUGGUUCCGGCGUGUCCGGCAGGUGGUUCCUGUCUGUCCGGGAGGUGGUUCCGGCAUGCUCAGCAGGUGCUUCUGGCGUUGCCGGCACGUGCUUCUGGAACGUCUGAGAGGUGGUUCUGGCAUGCCCGGCAGGUGAUUCCGGAGUGUCCGACAAGUGGUUCUGGCGUAGCCGACUGGUGAUUGCGGCUUGUCUGGCAGGUGGUUCCGGCGAGUCGAGCAGGUGGUUCCGGCGUGCUCGGCAGGUCGUUCAGGCGUGUACGGCAGGUGGUUCCAGUCUGUCCGGAAUGUGGUUCUGGCGUGUCCGGCACAUGGUUCGGGUACAUCUGAGACGUGGUUCUGGCAAGCCUGGCAGGUGAUUCCGGAGUGUCCGCCAAGUGGUUCUGGCGUAGCCGACAGGUGAUUUUGGCGUGUCUGGCAAGUGGUUCUGGGGAGUGGAUCAGGUGGUUCAGGAAUGCUCAGCAGGUUGUUCAGGCGUUUCGGGCAGGUAGUUCCGGUCUGUCCAGUAGGUGCUUUUGCUGUGUCCCGCACAUGAUUCUGGCACUUCUGAGAGGUGGCUCCAGCAUGCCCGGCAGGUGAUCCCGGACUGUCCCCCAUGUGGUUCUGGCGUACCCGGCAUGUGAUUUUGGUGUGUCCAGCACGUGGUUCCGGUGAGUAGAGCAGGUGGUUCCGGCAUGCUGGGCUGGUGGUUCAGGCGUGUCAGGCAGGUUAUUCUGGUCUGUCCGGAGGUGGUUCCGGUGUGUCCAGCAGGUGGUUCCUGUCUGUCCGGGAGGUGGUUCCGGCAUGCUCGGCAGGUGCUUCCGGCGUCUCCGGCAUGUGCUUCUGGCACGUCUGAGAGGUGGUUCCGGCAUGCUCGGCAGGUGAUUCCGGAGUGUUCGCCAAGUGGUUCUGGCAUAUCCGGCAGGUGAUUUUUACGUGUCCGGCACGUGGUUCUGUGGAGUGAAUCAGGUGGUUCUGGCAUGCUCGGCAGGUGCUUCCGGCGUCUCCGGUAUGUGGUUCUGGCACGUUUGAGAGGUGGUUCCAGCAUGCCCGGCAGGUGAUUCCGGAGUGUCCGACAAGUGGUUCUGGCGUAGACUGCUGGUGAUUUUGGGGUGUCUGGCAGGUGGUUCCGGCGAGUCGAACAGGUGGUUCCUGCGUGCCAGCAGGUGGUUCAGGCGGGUCCAGCAGGCGGUUUCCGUCUCUCCGGGAGGUGGUUCCGGUGUGUCCAGCAGGUGGUUCCGGUCAGUCCGGGAGGUGGUUCCGGUGUCUCCGGCACAUGGUUCUGGCACAUCUGAGAUGUGGUUCCAGCAUGCCCGGCAGGUGAUUCCGGAGUGUCUGCCACGUGGUUCUGGCGUAGCCGGCAGGUGAUUUUGGCAUGUCAUGCAGUUGGUUCUGGCAAGUCGAGCAGGUGGUUCUGGCAUGCCUGGCAGGUGAUUCCGGAGUGUCCGACAAGUGGUUCUGGUGUAGCCUGCUGGGGAUUUUGGGGUUUCCAGCAGGUGGUUCUGGCGAGUCGAGCAGCUGGUUCCUGCGUUCCGGCUGUUGGUUCAGGCGGGUCCGGCAAGUGGUUUCCGUCUGUCCGGGAUUUGGUUUUUGGAUUUUGACGUGUGCGGCAGGUGGUUCCAGCGAAUCGAGAAGGUCGUUCCGGAGUGCUCGGCACGUUGUUCAGGCGUGUCUGGCCGGUGGUUCCGGUCAGUCCGGGAGGUGGUUCCGGUGUCUCCGGCACAUGUUUCAGGCACAUCUGAGAUGUGGUUCCAGCAUGCCCGGCAGGUGAUUCCGGAGUGUCUGCCACGUGGUUCUGGCGUAGCCGGCAG
RNAcentral lists this long non-coding RNA (4258 nucleotides) under Equus asinus (donkey). RNAcentral describes it as "lncRNA (ENSEASG00005032257.1)". Lineage: Eukaryota; Metazoa; Chordata; Mammalia; Perissodactyla; Equidae. The record is from RNAcentral.